This is a long non-coding RNA of Oreochromis aureus, 614 nucleotides long. RefSeq lists it as uncharacterized. Lineage: Eukaryota; Metazoa; Chordata; Actinopteri; Cichliformes; Cichlidae. The record is from RefSeq and is a predicted model, not a curated record. The transcript has 4 exons.
CUGCAUGUACAUAUGACAGGAACUGCACAAAUCACAUAAAAGUCUCUGAGAAUAAAACAUAAUUAUGAGCUGGUAAAAUAUGUCACCUGACCUGAAACAACAGAAGGUAAGAAGAAAACACAAGAAGCAAGCCUGCAUGUUUGCAGUGGACAGGAAAUGUGAACACGUCACACAACUGCUGUGGUCAAAGCUACAGGAGCUGUUUGAGGUUUGUAUAAAAGGAAAGGAAGCACAGAGAGGCCACAGUCAGAAGAAACACUCUGGUCUUAUCUGUAUUAAAUGCAGCUUCUCUUUUUAUUAUUGAUGUAAAGUCAAAGUGUUUGAGAUCAGCUGAGGAUCAGAGUGCAGCAGGGCUGGAUGUGAGGAUGGGGCACUCUUUGCUCUGCAUGACGGGCUUAUUGUAAAGUUGUAGAAGUUUUCAGACGUGUCACUGCUGGAUGUGAGGAUGGGAGCCACUUUGCUCUGUGAGCUGGGCCUAUUCUUGCUCUGUACGCUCCUCUGCACUGGACACACUCAAGAUGCUGUGCUAACUAUUGAACCCAACUGGUCCAGUUUUUUCAUCGGAGAGUUUGUUACCUUCAAAUGUGACAUGAAUGAAGGAGAAGACACUGACU